This is a long non-coding RNA of Salvelinus fontinalis (brook trout), 2531 nucleotides long. RefSeq lists it as uncharacterized. NCBI's taxonomy places the organism in Eukaryota, Metazoa, Chordata, Actinopteri, Salmoniformes, Salmonidae. The transcript is spliced from 4 exons. The record is from RefSeq and is a predicted model, not a curated record.
ACGCGAGGAGGCUGCGAGAAGAAUACAAUUGAGAUCUUCCCACAGAUUGGAUAUUUUAAAGGCCCAGUGCAGUCAAAAUUCAGUUUAAAGGCACUUCACGCUUCAAAAACACCGACAGUCUUUUUGCAUUUUAGUACAGCAGAAUUACAUUAAUUUACAAUGAAACGCUGCGUUUGCAUUGCGGCGUUGCAGAGGCAGGUGCAGUGCAUACAUUGGAUUUAUCGAACGCAUACCGGUUUGACAGAAAUGGUAGCAGAAGGUGAAUGUUGAACUUUUGUUGCAUACAUAUCCAGAUGCUGCGUGCUAUUAAGCGCUAAAACUCUGUCUGUGUGUUCGAAGCGUUAACGCCUCAUAUCCACCAGAUUAAUCAAGCUCUUUCUGUUCCACGGAGGUCAUUAAUUUUCAAUGGAGAAGUCCGCAACGCUACUUUGGGGGUGCCGCACUAGGUAGCGGUGCAUUCUGUGUUCCGCAUGCAUUCAAUAUUUCUUAUCCUGCAUUGCUUUACCUUGCGGCGGUACAAACAGAAGUACACACAGACUCCAACUAGCUAUCUUUUAGCAAGUUGAAAGCGAAGCAAGUGCCUCAAGUACAGAAAAUGGGGACUAGACAUGACGAAACAUCUGCAUCUGGUGGACAUUGUGCAUAAAGGUCCAAUGCGGACGUUUUUAUCUCAAUAUCAAAUAAUUUCUUAUGUGUAACAAAUUAAUUAAAGAAUUACAAUUGUCAAAAAUUUACAAAAACAGCUUCUUAACUAAAUGUAAUUUCUCAAGCAAGAAUUUUGCUAGGACUGUCUGGGAGUGGUCUGAGGGGCCUAAUUGGAGGAGCCUAAUGAUAGGGAUGUGUAGCCUAAAAACUAGUUGUUAUUGGCAGAGAAGAGGGCAAACAACCUUUUAAAACAACUCUUUGACUAAAAGUGCAUUUUCAUAAUUUCUCAGUGUUAUUUCAACCUCAUAGUGGGGAUAUAUAUAAAGCACAGUAAAAUCACGUGUUUGGCUGCACUGGGCCUUUAAGGUAUCUCAUAGGACCCAAUUUACGGCAUUUGGCAGAAUCCUUCCGGAUGUAGUUUGUGAUGCACUGAAAAAGCUGCUGUCCAUUUUCGUUAUGAAUGUUUGUUUUGUUUUUUAAGAACUUGCGAAGUGUGGGUUUAAAUUUAUCUAGUAAAUAUAAUUGAAUACAUUUUAGGAUUAAGAUACUUGAGUUGACGACGGUGUCGUUUUCAGUAUGUUACCGAAAGGGUUCUGUGUCAAGUCCAACACAGUGAUUAAACGCUCCGAUAGGUGAGGAGUCACUCGUUCCACAUUAAACUCAACGAUUUACAAUGGAGUUGAGCGACGACUAGUGGGCCGACUGGAGCUCCGACGUUUUAAUGAAAAAACGACACAUUUCAGCACCCAAAGAGUAGGCAGCAAUUACACACGGUAUUUUCUAUUCGCCACUCAACUCAACAGGCAUCCAGCCUCUUUGGUAGUUAGAAAGGAAGGGUUACAGUCAACAUGUCUAUCCCACAGGAAGGGUUACAGUCAACAUGUCUAUCCCACAGUGUAUAAGCUUUGGCGUUAUCCCCAUGUCUUGCCAGCAUUCACAACAUGGCCUCCAGUGUUACAUAAGCUGGCUGGAGGGGCAGAUCUCAUGCUGCCUGGAGUGGUGGUGCCUCCAAGUGGUCUCCCAGAGGGGAAGAAGGGGGACUUCUGUGCUGUUAAAGUUGUUAGCAACAGGAAGGUUGAUUGACUGAAUCCAUUUGCAGUCAUGAUUAGCAGUUACCGCUGUCUAUAAUGAACACAUUGACAUACUGUAAACAGUAUGUCAAUGUGUUGACAAUGGCAGGCUUCAUAUUUUUGCUCACAACGUUGUGGUUGUUUGUUGCCAGGGCUCCCGUGGCAGUGGGCACUGGUGCACUGCCACCAUGUCCGAUGCAGGGCCUGGGCAUGAAGGGCAGAGGAGUGUCAAUAUUCUACACCUACAUGGACAGCCUGUGGUGAACACAGAUGAUCCAGUCAAACUCCACACACUGCAGCAUGGUUAGUGUCAAUAAGUAUAACCCGCACACAGCAUUCCCAAUCUACUAUCAUUAUGGAAUUUGGAGACGAGGCUGGUCCUCCCUCCAUGCCUGAUGUGGACACUGAGGGUGUCGAGGCAAUGUAUGGAGAGGAAGAAGAGGAUGAUGAACAGGCCACUGACGGGGGUGAAGAGGAACCGUGUCCCAACCCAGAGGACCCGAGAAGCCCACACCUGCCAGCAAUUGCUAAUAACCCAUCCGCAACCGCCCGACUAUAUGUGAAAAUCUGUACCCCGACCAUAACCUGCUAAUAUAGAAAAUGUGCUGUAGGCUACAGUCAGAGACGACAUAACCAGUUUUUGACGGGGUGCAGGAUAUUUUUGUUUUUGCCCGAUUUAGAUAUGUUUCUGCUUAUAGUUUCAGACAUUUUGGUAUGCUAUUUGUUAGUCAACUUGUCUAUAAUUAGAUACAUGCAGCUUCUCUUCUGUCAUUAUAUGUUGCCCUAGAAGAUUAAAUAAACCCAAUUCUGCUUGGA